This is a long non-coding RNA of Salarias fasciatus (jewelled blenny), 227 nucleotides long. RefSeq lists it as uncharacterized. NCBI's taxonomy places the organism in Eukaryota, Metazoa, Chordata, Actinopteri, Blenniiformes, Blenniidae. The transcript has 3 exons. The record is from RefSeq and is a predicted model, not a curated record.
UGGAAGCACAACAUACAGCGGCCGUGAGACUAUUUUCUCCUGAACAUUCAAGAUCUCGCCUAACAAGCACACAUCAACUCAUCCCAAGGAAUUGCACAGCAGUUGAAAGGCUCAUUCUUGAACAGCUGGGUGAACUUCACCUUAAAGUGGACCGCUUAACAGCUGCACUACAGUCAAUUGUUGGAAACGGAGCUCCUAAUCCAACACCUCAGGGCAACGACUAUGAC